GGGAGGUUCAGGAAGCCAUUCGUUCUUUCGCGUCUGCGGUGCCCGGAGUGUGGUACUUCUCCUAGUUGCAGUCAGGCUUCAUACGCUAUUGUCCUGCCCGUUAGAGCAGCCAGCGGGUACAGAAUGGAUUUUGGAAGAGGGAGUCACCACUGGACCUCCAAGGAAGCCACGUGCAGACAUCUACAACCUUCGAUCUCCUGACGAGUUUAUUGUUGGCCAAAACCAGGCUUUGAUUGAACCAGGAUGAAUGCGGGUGUUGGAAGUAGAAUAUAUAUAUACAUAUAAAAUUGGUUGGGAGCCACGUGUACCAGUGUGUGUUGAUCUUGGCUUGAUUCAGUCUGCCUUGUAACAGAUACAGGGUAUGAUACAGCAUCCUACAAGAAUGAGCAAACCUAUUCUGAUGGCAGGAGAUUGAGGACGUCUCCAAGCAAAUUCAAGUUCUCCCCCUGUGAGAGACACGAGGUAAAAUUGGCAUUGGAAGACGGAUGCUUGAUGGCCCUCGGGGGCUGACCCGCAGGGUGUCGGACUUCAGGGGACUUCAGGAAACAGCAGCGAGAGAGUUUGGCAUAGCUUAUUGCCCCAGGUUGUGGGGUCUUGGAAGAGAGCUGCCAUACAACUUAAUGCCUGAUCGGCUGGAGGACGAUCCGAGUGGAAAGGGAACAAUCUGGGGCUCUGGCUUACCACGUGCGUAAGCAUAACAAUCGCUUUGUUUAGCGAGCGGACAGAAUGUUUAAUCCAUUCCAGCCAUGCAUUUGCAUCUCGGUACCGUUUCAAUUGGUAGAGUUUGCUUUAGAUCUUUAACCUCUACAAUGGUCACUUUGGUUUUGUCAUUGGGUGUUUGUUUAGAAGGGGAUGAAGGGGGUGGGGGAACAAUGAAGCGCAUUUCGAAAGAUCCUGUAGGGUCUAUCCCUAAUGUUGCGGCUCCCAUGCUGUAGAAGCUACUUAAAGUGGGAUUAGGAUUGGUGGAGGUAGAGGUAAGAAUAGAAAUUUGCACUGGGUUACAUUGGUGAUAUUGGCAAUUAGAGGGGGCCUUCCCUUUGAAACGAAGGUAGGGUUGUAGAGAGAUGCAGCUUUUUGGGGAAGUCUACCCUUGAGGAUCGGUAUUCCAUAGGACGUCAUUCCGGGAUGGGCAGAACCUCUCCUCAAACCCUUCCCAUUCCCAAACUGCAAAGAAUGUAAUGGAUUUAGUUUCGAUUAGGCAAGCAUUGUGUGAGGAUUUAGAAUUUAUCUUGGAAGGGCAGAGAUAUUUUUCUGAGAAGGCCAGUUGCCUCUGGUUUUGGAGAUCCCCACAGGAUAUGACAAGACAGGCAUCAAAUGUGAUUGAGGUGAGCUUGAUCUAGUUACAUUAAUGAUAAAAUAGCUGACGGUAGAGAGAGGAAAGAAGACAAGGCAGUAUAAGAGGGUUAAAGUUUUCGUAGCUUUAGGUUGGUAGAAAUUGGCCCUGGAACAAUAGCCCAUGACUCUGAAGAUGGUGAUGCUGUUUUGACUGGGGUAUGAUGGGUCCACCCCUUUUCGGCUGUUCGGGCUGCUGUUUCAGUUAGGAGUGCUAGGUAUGGUCCUUCCCAAGCUGGCUCCUUCCAGCUUUUGAUAAGGAUGUGAUCUCCAGGCUGGUAUUGAUGUACCAGGAACUGUAAGGGUGGCAUCUGUGCUAAAAUACCUUUAGUUCUGAGGUAAGAGAAAGUGGAAAGCCAAGUAUAUAAUUUGAUCCUUUGUUUCAAAGGUAGGAAUGUCAGUAGUAAGAGUGUAAAUAAGGCAGUCCACAUAACAGAGAGAUAGGCCAGUAUCUUUCUGAGAGGCAGUCCUGACUGAAUUAGGUGAAUCUGUAAACCCUUGGGGUAGGACUCUCCAUUGGUACUGCUGCUUCCAUCCAGAAUGAGGGUUUUCCCACUCAAAAGCAAAUACUUCUCUUGUCUUCAGCCAAGGGACAUGCCCAGAAGGCAUCUUUUAAAUCUGUUACUCUGAACCAUUGAUUGUCAUGGAAUUCUGCUGAGGAUGGUAAAAGGAUUGGGGACAACAGGGUGGGUAGUCUGGACUAUUUGGUUGAUAGCCUGGAGAUCUUGUACUAGUUGAUGAGACCUGUCUGAUUUCUUUACAGGUAAUACUGGGGUGUUAAUAGGGGGACAUACAGGGUUCAGGGAAUCAGUCCUGAAUGAGAACUUCAACUACAGGCUUUAAUUCUAUUCUGCCCUCUAGGGGAAUGGGAUAUUACCUUUUUCUUACUAUUUCCCCUGGGGUCUUUAACUUUGUAUGGAUUGGAGUGACUUGAAGUUUCUUUUUUUCUUUCUUUUUUUUUUUUGAGUUGGAGUCUCUGUCACCCAAGCUGGAGUGCAAUGGUGUGAUCUUAAGCCACUGCAACCUUUGCCUCCUGGGUUCAAACAAUUCUCCUGCCUCGGCCUCCUGAGUAGCUGGGAUUACAGGCGCCUGCCACUGCACCCAGCUAAUUUUUGUAUUUUUAGUAGAGAUGGGGUUUCACCAUGUUGGCCAGGCUGGUCUCAAACUCCUGACCUCGUGAUCCACCCACCUUGGCCUCCCAAAGUGCUGGUAUUUCAAGUGUGAGCCAGCAAGCCCAGCCUCCCUGAUUUCUUUUUCCUGCCCAUACAUGAGGAUGAAUGUAUUUUUCUUCUGCGGUGGUAAGUCUCUUCCUAAUAAGUUCGUUCCUGCCUCAGGGAUUAACAGGAAUUUAACAUGGGCUGAUCAAUUUUUGUAUAGACCUCUGUCUUUUAAGAUUUUUGCUUUAAAUCUUUUAUCCCUGAGAUAGAAAGUUCUUCUGAAGAACAGGUGAUAGAUACCAGAUGGGAGGGAACGGGAGCGAGCUGCUGCUGAAUCUGUAAGAAGGUUUUAAGUUCACAUUUGGGUCCCACCUCUAAAUUUAUCAGGGGCUCUUGGUGGGACUCAAGGUAAAAGAGACAGCCCCUGACCUCCCUAUUUUCCUGGAAGGCCAUAAGUGGAAUAUUUUUUCUUUUUCCCAUUUGGGGCAUUCUCUUUUGAAGUGACCUACUCUUCCACAUUUGAAACAUUUGUUUUCCCCUCUUCCCUGUCCUGCACUGUGACUUCCAGGUUUUAUUCCCUUACUCCUUGUAUACAGUUUGGUCGCUGGUGGCCUAGAGGGUUUGUAAGUUUUACUUCCUUGUGUCUCCUACUGCAGAGUUCUCUGUUGUAAGGUAGACAGCAUGAUUUUUGCCUUUUGUUUCUGCUGCUCUUUGUCCCUACUUAUAUGCUUCUCUAAGAAGUUAGUCUCUGGGACAAUCUUUCCAAUUCUCUAUCUUUUGUAGUUGUUUUUAGAGGUGUUUGGCCAAGUCUUAGUAACAAAAUGAAGCUUUAGCAUCCCUUGCCCCAGUGGGUCUUCCAUUUCUAAACCUGCAUAUUUUCUCAUCUGUUCUUUAAGCCUAUUUAGGAAUUCAUGGGUCCUUCAUCCAUCCCUUGUAUGUUGAAUGCUUGGGAAAUACUCUCAGUUCGGGAUACUGAUGGAACAUUUUGACCGGUAGGGUGUUAAUGUUCCCAGACUACCAAAGCAGCCCUAUGGAUCAUGGUUCUUCUCCCAAGAAGGGAAUGCCUAAAAUGGACAUAAGCUCGGCCCAUACAACUGGGGUCCUAAAAAAUGAUUUGAUCUGCUACCCCAUAAGGGUCAUCUAACAAGGGCUUGAGUUUUUCUUUUUUUUUAGAUUUUGUACUUCUGAGCUGGUUAAGGGGGCAUUUACGAAGCUGAUGCCUCCUCUCCCAAGGGGCACUUCUUCAAGGGGAAGAGAGUUGGGGGCAAUUCUUUGGAGGUGGAAAGGGGAAAGGGAAGUUCUGAGUAUCCUUUUUACAUUGUUCUAUUUCAUGCUGUAGGGCUUAAGUGUGUGGCUAGGGGGAACAUGGGGUAUUGAUUCAGGAUUAUAUGGGGGAGGGACUGAUGAGUGGGGGGAUCCUGUGUACCGGCUUGAUGCAUGGGGUUUGGCAGAGGCAAGUGGUCUGGUGGGUCCCAUAUGUUAGCAGGCUGUUCGGGGGUAGAGACCUUACUCCUUUCAGAGGAGUUGGCUUCUGGCUUGCUUCCUGUAGUUAUGUUUAGUCCUUUCACUAUCCUUUUAGCAUGAGAACCUAGGGGACUGUCAGAGGGGAUGUUACUGUCAUUAAUUUGAUCCUUUCUAUUUACUGUCUUUCUUGAGGUAUUUUGCAUAAUGAAGGUUUGGUGUGAGGCCCAAAAUUAGAUUUAUUGCCUUUCCUCAUAGGCUCAACCUCCCUUACUGGAGAUUUCUUGCCAUUCCUUUCUCUAGAGGGUCAGCCCCUGGCUACUGGAGAUUUCUUGCACUCUUCUCCUUUUGCUUCAUCCUUCUCUGGCUGCUUCCCAGGAGGGAAUAUUUCAGGUCCUCCUUAGCAUUGGUGUGUCAGUAUAAGCCCCAUGACAGGAAUCCACCAUAAGCUAUACGAGGUGACCAUGGAAUCACAGAUCCGGAAUCAUCGCUCGCUUCGCACUCAGUUGUGCGUCUCAUUGACACACUUUCAACCUCUAAAAUGCCCUGACCACCAAGGAAAUACUUUGUCGCCCCUGUGACUUUUCUUAACUUGGUCUGUGCAGUUACCUGGUCACCGCAGUAUGUGAGGAUCCUUUCCGCCUGUGUUGCUGAGAGUCUGGGUUUAUGUGUCACCUUGGGUGGGACCCAAUCUCCUGUUUGUGAGGCCACCGCAAAGAGGUGGUGGGAUGCCUCUCCUCAAGAGAGGUGAUCGUGGGCUUCUCCUGAAGGAGAACGGUAAUCCCAGAUGAGCUCCCAAAUUGUUGGCAAUAAGAGCUCAGAGUUGCAAAGAAAAUGAUCUCCAAAAGAUUUCUCAGCAAGGCAGAUUUACUUCUGCAGAAUGGUGCUGCUUGCACUCCUGGUCACAGUGAGAGCACCCCGAACAAAGGAGGUGAAGUGGUUUUUAUCCCUAACACAGCUAGUUCCUGCUUCUGUGUUCUAUCCCCAUUGGCUAGAGUCCAAUCUAAACUAGUCCUGAUUGGCUAUUUUAAACAGGAGGGGUGUGGGUUACAGCAGUGGGAAGAGCAGUUGCCACGAGCGAGGGAGACUUUUCCAGAUAAGGAACAAAUGCGGGUUACAGGUUGGGAUUGGUGGGAGAAAUGUUUACAGAAUGGGUAAUUAGGAGUGGGAAGGUAUGAGGAAGUUGACCUUAAGAACAAAGAACAAGGAAGUUAAACUUUGAAGAGAAACCCAUCAUACCUAACAGUCUUGUAAGAAAGGAUGACAAAGUGAUUGAACAUUGGGUGGAGCUAAUUUUCCUUGGCCAAUUCACUUAGUAAGAUAAGGAGCUCCAAAUCAUAUUUAAGUUGGGAGUCAAUUGAUUUUACUUAAUUCUUGUGAGGUUCAGUUAUAAGAUUCAUCAUACUACUACCAUGAGCCAUCCUCAGCUCCUUGUUACAUGGGCCUGUUAACAUGGCAGCUUUGUCUAUAAGCAAACCCAGGAGAGAAAGACAUAGCAGAGAUGGAUGUUUGAAGUCUAUACCUUCCACCCCCUUUAAAGAGAAAGUAACACCACUCCUUUUCUGUGUCCCUUGGGGACACUACCUCCAUGUCUGGUCACAUGGCUGGACUUUACAGCAGAUAAGCAUACUGUGGCCUGAGACCAUGAUUGUAUGCUUUCCUUCUGCUGACCUUUACAAUCCCUCAAUAAAUUGAGCUAACACAGGGAAGCUUUUUUACCAAAUAACUGUGUUGCAUCAUCCUCCAGUUUGCCUGGUGUCCUUAAUCAAUGGAAGGGGAAUAAGCAAACUGAGUUUUCUUACACCUUUUGAGUAUAGUGUUUUUGCCAUCAUAGAUGUGGCUCCUCAUAAUUCUCCAACUUUUAUAUUAAAAAACCAAAACCUCAAAAAUUGUAGUUCAUGUCAGUCAGUGAUGACUCAUCUUAGAAGUAUUUUGUUUUUGGAUGUGUGAAUGUGCAUAGUUCUUAAAGUCCAACAUUCAUGUAAUAAGACAUCUUGCAUAUAACAAUGACCCUUACGUCUAAGAUGUUAAAUAGAUCCUAAGCCUGGUAUAACUUUAUUCAAGUAUCCUUAUUUGCCCCUAAAAUGUCUUUAAUACACAUUACUUGGGUUAUUUCUUGAAUGAACAUACAGGUAUCCCAAUUUCUGUUUUUAAGAGAAUGGGGUCUUGCUCUGUCACCCAGGCUGGAGUGCAGUGGUGCAGUCAUGGCUUACUGCAUCCAUGAUCCUCCUGCCUCAGCCUCCCAAGUAGAUGGGACUGAAAGCACACACUGCCAUCCCUGGCUAAUGUUUUCAUAUUUUGUAGAGUUGCAGCCUUGCUACGUGACCCAGGCUGGAGUGUAGUAGCUAUUCACAGGCAUGAUUGCUUGAAACUCAUGGCUUCAAGGGAAACUCCCACCCUCAAUAUCCUCAGUAGCUGCAACUACAGCCAUACCCCCCACUGCUCAGCUUCUCAUCCUUUAAAAGAUUUUUACUGGUAGUGUCCUCAUUCUGGGUUUUUGUCUUCUGUGUUUACUGUGACAUGAAGUCAUUUUUAGAUGAAGGUUAAACAUUUUGCCAACGCAGGUACAAUAUGGGAUUCAAUAAAAGUACAGAAUUAAAGUUGUCUUAUUAGAGAUUGGGAAGUUUCCCAGCUCCGUUUAUCGGUACUUGGCCGUACCGAUAAAGGGGAUGGACUUGGAGUGACCAGGUCUUAGUCACAUGUAUUUUCAUACCCUAAACAAGAAGCGGUAUAGACCAGAAUGGAGCACUGAUUGUAAUCCACCUUCUUUCUUAGAAACUGGCGAUGGAAUAUGAGAGGAGCCCUCUGGAAAGAAAAGGACAGACCCUGUGCUUUCAUGAAAGUGAAGAUCUGGCUGAACCAGUUCCACAAGGUUACUGUAUACAUAGCCUGAGUUUAAAAGGCUGUGCCCACUUCAAGAAUGUCAUUGUUAGACUUUGAAAUUUCUAACUGCCUACCUGCAUAAAGAAAAUAAAAUCUUUUAAAUCAAA
Molecule: long non-coding RNA, 6940 nt
Filed under: Homo sapiens (human)
Lineage: Eukaryota; Metazoa; Chordata; Mammalia; Primates; Hominidae
Description: HSALNT0401523
Rfam family: ZNFX1 antisense RNA 1 conserved region 3 (bases 205-291)
Source: RNAcentral